RNAcentral lists this ribosomal RNA (397 nucleotides) under uncultured bacterium. Its description in RNAcentral is "partial 16S ribosomal RNA". It matches the Rfam family "Bacterial small subunit ribosomal RNA", at positions 523 to 918 of the family's 1533-position model. The record is from RNAcentral.
AUACGUAGGGGGCGAGCGUUGUCCGGAAUGAUUGGGCGUAAAGGGCGCGUAGGCGGCCCGGUAAGUCUGGAGUGAAAGUCCUGUUUUUAAGAUGGGAAUUGCUUUGGAUACUGUCGGGCUUGAGUGCAGGAGAGGUAAGUGGAAUUCCCAGUGUAGCGGUGAAAUGCGUAGAGAUUGGGAGGAACACCAGUGGCGAAGGCGACUUACUGGACUGUAACUGACGCUGAGGCGCGAAAGUGUGGGGAGCAAACAGGAUUAGAUACCCUGGUAGUCCACACUGUAAACGAUGAAUGCUAGGUGUAGUGGGUAUCGACCCCUUCUGUGCCGCAGUCAACACAAUAAGCAUUCCGCCUGGGGAGUACGGCCGCAAGGUUGAUACUCAAAUGAAUUGACGGGG